Molecule: ribosomal RNA, 433 nt
Filed under: uncultured bacterium
Lineage: Bacteria
Description: partial 16S ribosomal RNA
Rfam family: Bacterial small subunit ribosomal RNA
Source: RNAcentral
AACGAACGCUGGCGGCAUGCCUAACACAUGCAAGUCGAACGAGACCUUCGGGUCUAGUGGCGCACGGGUGCGUAACGCGUGGGAACCUGCCCUUAGGUUCGGCAUAACUCCCCGAAAGGGGUGCUAAUACCGGAUAAUGUCUUCGGACCAAAGAUUUAUCGCCUUUGGAUGGGCCCGCGUUGGAUUAGCUAGUUGGUAGGGUAAAAGCCUACCAAGGCGACGAUCCAUAGCUGGUCUGAGAGGAUGGUCAGCCACACUGGGACUGAGACACGGCCCAGACUCCUACGGGAGGCAGCAGUGGGGAAUAUUGGACAGUGGGCGAAAGCCUGAUCCAGCAAUGCCGCGUGAGUGAUGAAGGCCUUAGGGUUGUAAAGCUCUUUUACCCGGGAUGAUAAUGACAGUACCGGGAGAAUAAGCUCCGGCUAACUCCGUG